RNAcentral lists this ribosomal RNA (338 nucleotides) under uncultured bacterium. Its description in RNAcentral is "bacterial SSU rRNA". It matches the Rfam family "Bacterial small subunit ribosomal RNA", at positions 71 to 422 of the family's 1533-position model. The record is from RNAcentral.
AAGUGGUAGCAAUACCAUGAGUAAAGUGGCGCACGGGUGAGUAACACGUGACUAACCUACCCUGGAGUGGGGGAUAACUGAGGGAAACCUUAGCUAAUACCGCAUAAUACCUACGGGUCAAAGGAGCAAUUCGCUUUGGGAGGGGGUCGCGGCCGAUUAGUUAGUUGGCGGGGUAAUGGCCCACCAAGACUGUGAUCGGUAUCCGGCCUGAGAGGGCGCACGGACACACUGGAACUGACACACGGUCCAGACUCCUACGGGAGGCAGCAGUGGGGAAUUUUGCGCAAUGGGGGAAACCCUGACGCAGCAACGCCGCGUGGAGGAUGAAGUACUUCGGU